AGUAUGUCUAAUCCAUGAUUUUGUCUCUGGAACGAAAGAGUGGACGUGACUGUAUGGGCGGCUGUAGGAAGCGUAUGAUGAACAUGCCUGGAAUAUAAAUGAGACAGUUGUCGGUAGGGAUGUAUACCCCCGUCUGGUACAUGAAAGUGAAAUGUGAUAAGUGGCCAACCAAGUGAGUUCCCCAGAAACAUCAUGAACUUAUGGAUGAGUAGUGGCGUUUGUUGAUGAUAUGAUAUGUGCUUAGUUGUCUG
This 251-nucleotide long non-coding RNA is filed under the name Pelobates cultripes (western spadefoot toad). The record is from RNAcentral. Lineage: Eukaryota; Metazoa; Chordata; Amphibia; Anura; Pelobatidae.